GGGGGGGGGGGGGGGGGGGGGGAGGGCGGGCGGGGCGGGCGGAGGGACGGGGAGCUGGCGUGUCUGGUGGUGGCGGCGGGCGGGUGAGUAACACGUGGAUAACCUACCUAUAAGACUGGGAUAACUUCGGGAAACCGGAGCUAAUACCGGAUGCUAUUUUGCACCGCAUGGUUCAAAAGUGAAAGACGGUCUUGCUGUCACUUAUAGCUGGAUCCGCGCUGCAUUAGCUAGUUGGUAAGGUAACGGCUUACCAAGGCAACGAUGCAUAGCCGCCCUGAGAGGGUGAUCGGCCACACUGGAACUGAGACACGGUCCAGACUCCUACGGGAGGCAGCAGUAGGGAAUCUUCCGCAAUGGGCGAAAGCCUGACGGAGCAACGCCGCGUGAGUGAUGAAGGUCUUCGGAUCGUAAAACUCUGUUAUUAGGGAAGAACAUAUGUGUAAGUAACUGUGCACAUCUUGACGGUACCUAAUCAGAAAGCCACGGCUAACUACGUG
RNAcentral lists this ribosomal RNA (497 nucleotides) under uncultured bacterium. RNAcentral describes it as "partial 16S ribosomal RNA". It matches the Rfam family "Bacterial small subunit ribosomal RNA", at positions 35 to 507 of the family's 1533-position model. The record is from RNAcentral.